UUCGACACUCCCUUGCCUACGUCCACUCUCCUCAAUCUCCUAACCGAGUGAGGGUUCCACUAACUUGAAGCUUCAAUCAAGCUUUCAAUCGUCUUACACUUGGAUUCCGGCUCCAAUGGGCUCUUACACAAUCUCUUCAAGAUUUGAACCACUUGAAGGCUUUCACACUCAAUUUACACAAGGAUGAAACUCUCAACCUAGCUUAAGGAAGGCUCAAGUACAAGAGAAAGCUAGGAUGAAUUAUAAGAGUGCACUAAGAAUAUGCAAGUGAUGGUUU
This 277-nucleotide long non-coding RNA is filed under the name Vitis vinifera (wine grape). Its description in RNAcentral is "long non-coding RNA (VVIN_LNC002862)". Lineage: Eukaryota; Viridiplantae; Streptophyta; Magnoliopsida; Vitales; Vitaceae. The record is from RNAcentral.